This 253-nucleotide ribosomal RNA is filed under the name uncultured bacterium. Its description in RNAcentral is "partial 16S ribosomal RNA". It matches the Rfam family "Bacterial small subunit ribosomal RNA", at positions 524 to 776 of the family's 1533-position model. The record is from RNAcentral.
GACGUAGGAGGCGAGCGUUGUCCGGAGUUACUGGGCGUAAAGCGCGCGCAGGCGGCCCUGUGCGCUGCCGGUGAAAGCUCCCGGCUUACCUGGGAGAGGUUCGGCAGGACGGCAGGGCUGGAGGGUGGGAGAGGUCGGUGGAAUUCCCGGUGUAGCAGUGAAAUGCGUAGAGAUCGGGAGGAACACCAGUGGCGAAGGCGGCCUUCUGGACCAAUACUGACGCUCAUGCACGAAAGCGUGGGGAGCAAACAGG